UAUCUCAUGGCUCACACGUCCCUGCCCUUC
RNAcentral lists this non-coding RNA (30 nucleotides) under Homo sapiens (human). The record is from RNAcentral. Lineage: Eukaryota; Metazoa; Chordata; Mammalia; Primates; Hominidae.